UCCUACGGGAGGCAGCAGUGAGGAAUAUUGGUCAAUGGACGCAAGUCUGAACCAGCCAUGUCGCGUGCAGGAUGACGGCCCUAUGGGUUGUAAACUGCUUUUUUACAGGAAUAAUUGCAGAUACGUGUAUUUGUUUGAAUGUACUGUAUGAAUAAGGAUCGGCUAACUCCGUGCCAGCAGCCGCGGUAAUACGGAGGAUUCGAGCGUUAUCCGGAUUUAUUGGGUUUAAAGGGUCCGUAGGCGGUCUUUUAAGUCAGUGGUGAAAUCCCAGAGCUCAACUCUGGAACUGCCAUUGAAACUGAAGGACUUGAAUAUGGUUGAGGUAGGCGGAAUACGUUAUGUAGCGGUGAAAUGCAUAGAUAUAACGUAGAACACCAAUUGCGAAGGCAGCUUACUAAGCCAUUAUUGACGCUGAUGGACGAAAGCGUGGGGAGCGAACAGGAUUAGAUACCCUGGUAGUUCACGCCGUAAACGAUGAUUACUCGUUGUGCACAAUACAUCGUGCGUGACUGAGCGAAAGCAUUAAGUAAUCCACCUGGGGAGUACGUUCGCAAGAAUGAAACUCAAAGGAAUUGACGG
This 579-nucleotide ribosomal RNA is filed under the name uncultured bacterium. RNAcentral describes it as "bacterial SSU rRNA". It matches the Rfam family "Bacterial small subunit ribosomal RNA", at positions 337 to 916 of the family's 1533-position model. The record is from RNAcentral.